This 427-nucleotide ribosomal RNA is filed under the name uncultured bacterium. RNAcentral's name for it is "partial 16S ribosomal RNA". It matches the Rfam family "Bacterial small subunit ribosomal RNA", at positions 355 to 774 of the family's 1533-position model. The record is from RNAcentral.
UGGGGAAUAUUGCACAAUGGGCGCAAGCCUGAUGCAGCCAUGCCGCGUGUAUGAAGAAGGCCUUCGGGUUGUAAAGUACUUUCAGCGGGGAGGAAGGCGAUAAGGUUAAUAACCUUGUCGAUUGACGUUACCCGCAGAAGAAGCACCGGCUAACUCCGUGCCAGCAGCCGCGGUAAUACGGAGGGUGCAAGCGUUAAUCGGAAUUACUGGGCGUAAAGCGCACGCAGGCGGUCUGUCAAGUCGGAUGUGAAAUCCCCGGGCUCAACCUGGGAACUGCAUUCGAAACUGGCAGGCUAGAGUCUUGUAGAGGGGGGUAGAAUUCCAGGCGUAGCGGUGAAAUGCGUAGAGAUCUGGAGGAAUACCGGUGGCGAAGGCGGCCCCCUGGACAAAGACUGACGCUCAGGUGCGAAAGCGUGGGGAGCAAACA